This is a long non-coding RNA of Plectropomus leopardus (leopard coralgrouper), 351 nucleotides long. RefSeq lists it as uncharacterized. The record is from RefSeq and is a predicted model, not a curated record. Lineage: Eukaryota; Metazoa; Chordata; Actinopteri; Perciformes; Serranidae.
CUGGUAAAUAACUUUAGCUACUUUUAAAUUCAGUAUUAAAUGUGUAAAAUGAUAUCAGCCUGCGUCGUGAACGGUGGAAUAGGACGGUGGGGAAAUGAGUUUAUGCUUUUAGUGGAAGUUAAACGGCAUGGACUUCAUGUUUCACCUGUGCUUGAGAGGUUACAAGGACGGCAUCCUCGGUGGUUCCAAUUUCCAGCCCAUUCCCCAAUUUUCAACCCCAAUGACAGACAACACACGCUUGAAUGGCUGUUCAGCUAAAGAAGGGAAUUGAGCUGCUGGGGUGUUGGCGUCUGGGGAGGCUGAAAGAUGGCAGGCCGUAAUGAACCUUGGUCCGACCUUUGACCUCCUACC